This 544-nucleotide unclassified non-coding RNA is filed under the name Caenorhabditis elegans. Its description in RNAcentral is "Non-coding transcript of protein-coding gene F46G10.1b". Lineage: Eukaryota; Metazoa; Nematoda; Chromadorea; Rhabditida; Rhabditidae. The record is from RNAcentral.
AUGCUAGCUAGAGCUUCUCUUCAUUCAAAUGGUGUGGAUAUGCAUACCGCUGAGUAUGCUGAUUAUAAAAAGGCUGAAGUCACAUCUCAUCAUGCUCGAGACAUAGUGCAUAUUAACGCAGGCGGCACAAGGCUUCAGAUUUACUACACUUUACGACACUUUGGCACAGUCAAAGUCGUCAUAUUUCCUCAACUUUAUCCGCAUCGACCGCACCAGUGGAAAAAUUGUGCUUCUUCAACAGAGAACUAUUCGUGAUGAGUCAGGAGCAAUCUUCGUGAACCGGGACGGGCGUCUGUUUGCAUUCGUUCUGCAAUUUAUGAGAGACGGAAAGAACACUGUCCUGCCAAAAGAUAAAGACGUGUUAGCACAGCUCAAACGAGAAGCAGACUUCUUUGGCAUGGAGGUAUUCAAGUACCUAAUUCAAGAGACACUUGUUGACAUUGAAAAGGAACAACGUGCCAACACCAAUGAUAUUGUGGAUAUUCGCAAUUCGGUGAACCAAAUUGCGAACAACACGUACUACAAUAAUGGAGGACGCAUUUGA